AUAAAUAAAUAAAAAUCAUUUUAGGCAUGGUUCAACCCUUAUACAUAAAGAGCUAGUGUCUUACCAAUCUCCAACCAAGAAACACCUUCCAACUUAAAUAAGGAACAAUCAAAUCAAACUUAAGAAAACAUUAAACAACCAGUUUCAUACAAUCCACUAGGUUCAAAAUCCUAAACACAUAAAAGAAUUACAACAGGAAUUUGAAAAAAAAUCCAA
Molecule: long non-coding RNA, 216 nt
Filed under: Phaseolus vulgaris (common bean)
Lineage: Eukaryota; Viridiplantae; Streptophyta; Magnoliopsida; Fabales; Fabaceae
Description: long non-coding RNA (PVUL_LNC003765)
Source: RNAcentral